Molecule: long non-coding RNA, 2376 nt
Organism: Triticum dicoccoides
Lineage: Eukaryota; Viridiplantae; Streptophyta; Magnoliopsida; Poales; Poaceae
Exons: 9
Source: RefSeq, a predicted model, not a curated record
CCCGGCUGCUUCGCGCCUUGUCUUGUCACCCGUGCCGUCAGUGCCACGCGGUUAUCGCCGUCGGCAGGACUGCUCGCGCGUACAUAUCCACUGGCCGUGGAUUCUUACAGUUCUUGAGGUGCUCUUUGCUGUGCUGUGGUAAACAGUGAAGUUGAGCAACUGUUUAGACUUCAGACUUCAGUGUUCAGACCAAGCAAAUUGGCUUCAGACUUCAGUUCGUGAGGUGCUCUUUGCUGUGCUGUGGUAACCAGUGCAGUUGAGCAAAUGUUCAGACUUCAGACUUCAGAAUUCAGUCCAAGCAAAUUGGCUUCAGACUUCAGUUCGUGAGUUGAGCAACUGUUCAGAAUUCAGAGUUCAGACAAAGCUAAUUGGCUUCAGACUUCAGUUCGUGAGGUGCUCUUUGCUGUGCUAUGGUAACCAGUGUUGUUGAGCAACUGUUCAGACUUCAGACUUCAGAAUUCAGACCAAGCAAAUUGGCUUCAGACUUCAGUUCGUUAGGUGCUCUUUGCUGUGCUGUGGUAACCAGUGUAGUUGAGCAACUGUUCAGACUUCAGAUUUCAGAGUUCAGACCAAGCAAAUUGGCUUCAGACUUCAGUUCGUGAGGUGCUCUUUGCUGUGUUGUGGUAACCAGUGCAGUUGAGCAACUGUUCAGACAUCAGACUUCAGAGUUCAGACCAAGCAAAUUGGCUUCAGACUUCAGUUCGUGAGGUGCUCUUUGCUGCGUCGUGGUGACCCAUCAGCAGUUGAGCAAUUGUUCUGAACUUCUAAUAGCCCCAUACUCCGAGGAGGAAGUUAGAAAGGUGGCUUUCCUAAUGGAGCAUAACAAGUCCGGAUGGUUUUCCCAUCGAGUUCUAUUAGAACUUAAGGGAAGUCAUCAAACCGGAUCUCCUACUUUUGUUUAGCGACCUACAUGUUGGUCAACUAGAAUUGUUUUGCUUAAACUUCGGUGAGAUUAUUUUAUAACCUAAGGUUAAUGAGGCUGAAAGGAUACAACAAUAUAGACCUAUUUGCCUCUUAAAUGUUAGAUUUAAAAUAUUGAUGAAGGUUGCGACUAUUAGGCUAAAUUCGAUUGUUGAACAUGUGGUUCGGCCUUCACAGACAAAUUUUAUGCAAGUCAGGAACAUCCUAGAUGGAGUUGUUAUCCUGCAUGGAAGAGUCCAUGAAUUACACCGGAAAAAGUUGAAUGGAGUGGUACUCAAAAUAUACUUUGAAAGGCUUAUGACAAAGUCAAGUGGCCCUUUCUUCAACAGACUCUCAGAAUGAAAGGAUUUUUUUGCAGAGUGGCGCGCUAUGAUCCAUAGCUUUGUUGCUGGAGGUAGUAUUGCCAUUAAGAUCAAUGAUGACAACGUUGAACACUAUUUCCAAACGAAGAAGGGAUUGUGACAAGGUGAUUCGUUAUCGCCCAUGCUAUUCAAUAUAGUGACGGAUAUGCUAGCGGUCAUGACUGAGCGUGCCAAGGUUGAUGUCCAAAUUGAUGGGGUAGUUAAUCAUCUAGCUAGUUGAUGGUGGUCUCUCUAUACUUCAAAUGCCGAUGAUAUGAUUCUCUUCAUAGAUCAUGACCUCGAGAAAGCGAGAAAUCUGAAACUAAUUUUAUCAGCAUUCGAGCAAAUCUCAGGUCUUAAGAUCAAUUUUCAUAGAAGUGAAUUGUUUUUCUUCGGCGAGGCUCAAGACGAGGCCCACCUGUAUGCUGAACUAUUCGGAUGUGGGUUGGGACAGUUUCCAAUCACAUAUUUGGGGAUACACAUUAUCGGAGACUCACAAAUGUUGAAUAGAAACACGUCAAGGAGAGGCUACAAAAAAGACUUAGCAGUUGGAAAGUUGCCGAAAGGAGUUUUUACAUAUAUUGGAUUACUUCCGAUCAAGAUUCUUUUGGCAAGGAGAUAGUGAGAGAAAGAAAUAUCGACUGGCUAAAUGGAGUGUGGUUUGCCAUCCCAAAGACCAAGGCGGAUUGGGCAUUCAUGACCUUGAUGUUAAGAAUGGGGCCCUUCUCGACAAAUGGUUUUUUAAAUUACUGAUGGAAGAUGGUGUAUGGCAAACCCUUCUAAGGAGGAAAUGUGUUGGUUCCAAGGCGGUAUCCCAAGUAUACUGGAAGCCUGGGGAUUCCCACUUUUGGGCAGGUAUAAUGGCUAAGAAAUAUUUCUUCUACUAUGGAUCCUUCUCGAUUAUGGAUGGCUCAGAAAUUAGAUUCUGGGAGGACAAGUGCCUAGGAGAUGCCACAAUCCUGGAACAAUAUCCAACUCUAUACAACAUUGUGUGCCACAAGGGUGAUACUAUCACCACGGUAAUGGAAUCAUUUCCGCCAAAUGUGAUGUUCAGAAGAGAUUUAAUUGGACACAGGCUCCAAACAGGGAACAUUGCUACCUCUUGAGCACUGCA